RNAcentral lists this ribosomal RNA (440 nucleotides) under uncultured bacterium. RNAcentral's name for it is "partial 16S ribosomal RNA". It matches the Rfam family "Bacterial small subunit ribosomal RNA", at positions 338 to 795 of the family's 1533-position model. The record is from RNAcentral.
CCUACGGGAGGCAGCAGUAGGGAAUAUUGCACAAUGGGGGAAACCCUGAAGCAGCGACGCCGCGUGAAGGAAGAAGUUUUUCGGUUUGUAAACUCCUAUUAUUAGAGAAGAUAAUGACGGUAUCUGACGAAUAAGCACCGACUAACUCCGUGCCAGCAGCCGCGGUAAUACGGAGGGUGCAAGCGUUACCCGGAUUCACUGGGCGUAAAGAGCGCGUAGGCGGGAUAGCAAGUCAGAUGUGAAAUCCUAUGGCUUAACCCUAGAACUGCAUUUGAAACUGUUGAUCUAGAGUAUGGGAGAGGUAGGUGGAAUUCUUGGUGUAGGGGUAAAAUGCGUAGAGAUCAAGAGGAAUACGCAUUGCGAAGGCGACCUGCUAGAACAUAAAUGACGCUGAUGCGCGAAAGCGUGGGGAGCAAACAGGAUUAGAUACCCUUGUAGUC